GGUGGCGGGGGGGGCUCGCGCCGCCCAACCGUCAUAACGUGCGGCCAACGGGCGCGGCGCGUGAGGAGCCCGGGGGGGGAGGGGGGGCAUGGUGCAGAGCGUAGCCGUUCUGCUCCUCGUCAGCGUGUUCCCAAGCCAAACAGCCCUAUCGUCGCGUUAAUUUGUUACGCGAAUGUGUAACCGGGCCUCGGGAAUGUGAGCCUGCCUGCCUGAGCUCGGCGGGGCUGGAGUGUGAGACAGGGAGUACUUGGACCUGCUAAACUUUGGUACUCCACGCAGCAGUGUGGUGUGGAAGCAUCCCUGCCUAAUAACAACCUUGAGACCAAAUCACAGUUUCAUAAAUAAAUCGCACUUUUCAUAACUCAGUUACAAACGUUGGAAAACUUGAACCUUUUCACAAAUGGGUAAACAAUGCAAGAGACUCAACCCAGCAGAAAAUAACCCUAAUCAUACUUAGCAUUUACAUAAAGCUCUCCAUCUCCAACACCUUCUGUGAGUAGGUGUUUAAUCUUCUGCCCUCUGAGCCAAUUUAGUAAUAACUACCUCUGCAAGGAAACAGGAUGAAGUUCUCACCGGUUAAAAACUUGCAAUUAAAGUACUACUAUUCUUCCUCCUAACCCAAGUAGGCUAUAGUUAAUAUAUGUAUAAUUAAACUCUAAUAAGAAAGUCAUUUUAUCUCAACAAGUCACAGCUUGAUUGAGAUUAAUAACAGUUUUCUUUUAUUUUUAAUCAAAGAAUUGUAAAAAUGUUGGGAUUGUCUGGGCACAGCCAUGGUGCAGGUCAGCAAAAGAUCAGGUUAUACUUUUAACUACAGUUUUCCUUCCUUCGUGACUUUAAAUUAGAACUUCCACAACAUUUUACUAUGUUCUAAUUUCAUCUGCAUUUUAAAGAUGGGUUUACAAAACAAAAGCAAGUGGUAACAAAUGUGAAGUACUUUUAACCACCUUCCUACCGAAUUACUGUCUCCACAGUCAUACUGACUGGCAUGCAUCUGUUUGAAAGCACGUGGUUUUCCACUGCACCACUGUGGUGUUCUGCUGUUCUGGAAGAAAAUCCAUCAGAAGUCAGUGUGAAGACCAGAGGCAUCUCACCGUCAUUUUUUUGGGCUGCCCACUUAAAGAUUGUGUUGCUACCAGGGCUUGACUAGCAUACGUCAACUCCUGUGAGCCUUGAAGCUGGUGCAGCAAAAUGGCAGCUGUUGCUAAUCCCCACAUGAGAGCUGGAAACCAAGAGGCAUUCCAGGGACCCUCUCUAAGGAAAUGAAAGUCCGAGUUUAAAAGAAGUUCGCUUGAAGCGAUUUAAACACUAGGAAAUAACCAAAUACAUUAGAAAUAACGCAAUACAAAUACUAAAUAUGCUGAGUGUACUUGGAUUAGAACAUUUCCAAACCCAGCAGAAAGAAAACACCGAAAACGUGUAGGUGCUGAAGUGCAGACGCACUAGCUGGUUGCCCUGCUGUCAGUGAUAGACCUCACACAAGUCCAGAUAUGAAGUGCUGAGGAUUUUGAGGUCCUAGCUCACCUGCAAGCACCUUCAGUGUCAGAACAGCACUGUUACAAGACAGAGGCACUCAGGAUCUGCUAACACAAGUAUGACAGGUACUCUGAGUAUGGAAGAGCCAUUUCGGAGACUGAGCAAGGCUGUUGCUACAGCCAGCAAACAAGUGUGUUUCAUUCCCACUGACGUCGCUGUGGAGAUGCAAGAGGAACACCAAAUUCUAAGACUUAUUGCAGUUUAUGGAAAAAAAUGGAGCUGGGAAUUUACAGCAGACCUGGCAAGAGUGAGUGGUGGUGUGGGAUAAACUGAAGGGAUUGUUCCUGGCAAACUCAAGGUACUACAAUAUGCUCAUUCUACAGUUGAAGCAUGGCAGAAGAGCAGUAACUUGCUUCAGGGCACACAUCAAGAAUGGGAUGGGCUCAAGUCAUUCCAACUGUCACAGUGAAUGCUGCUUCAUUCUUCACAGCACAAAGCCUUCUACGCAUUCUCCACAACUUACACAAGGAAAAAAAAAAAAAAAGAGAGAGAGACACCUAGAUACAACUAGAGAAUCCAAAGCAUCUAAGCUACCUUUGGAGCAGGAGGGCUGAUAGAAACUAAAAGGAAGUAGUGUUUUUUUUGUUUGUUUGUUUUGUUUUGUUGUUUUUUAACUAAGCAUAGAUUUAAUAUAAUGAAUAAGCUAGGAAAAACUUAUUAAAAUACAGAAUGAUCCAGUG
Cygnus olor (mute swan) is the source of this 2213-nucleotide long non-coding RNA. RefSeq lists it as uncharacterized. NCBI's taxonomy places the organism in Eukaryota, Metazoa, Chordata, Aves, Anseriformes, Anatidae. The transcript is spliced from 4 exons. The record is from RefSeq and is a predicted model, not a curated record.